UCACACCUGAUGCUAAUGCGACACUAGAUUGUAUCCCCCCAUCGUGGCAUGGUUACAAAAAAGGCAGUUCAAUCCAAGUUCAGUCCGAGAACACGGUAAUAGACACAUUCGCAAAUGCAGUUCACGGGUAGGUCACAAAAGGCAUAGUUGCUUCGAGGGAUCUCACCUGUAAACAAGGGAAGUAAGACACCGAGAAUCAGGCCGAAUAAGAGAGAGUUAUUCCCCAUCUUGUGGUGGGAUUCAGAGGAUCGAAAGAUCAGUGUAAUAAAUGUCCAAGGAUGGUGCGAUUUGAAGAACAAAGAAACUGAGAAUGCAACAGCUCGAUGAGCAUUAGCCGGUCUGUCACUUUGUGAAGUGGGCGUUUACUCCAGAAGUCUGAUUUGGGGGCUGGAGGACAAAAGACAAGAGCGAGUUUUAUUUAUUUAUUUAUUUAGAUUUAUAUUUAGAUAAAUUUAUGUAUGCGACUUGCAGUGUUACUUUCUCUCUGCUGAUUAUCUGCACUAUAUGACAGUAAUCAUUACAAUAAGAACAUAUUGAUUUAAUUACACUUGAUGUCUAAGUAAAUAGGUCUUGAUAACCCAGAGGAAAAAUAGCAAUGAAAGAUCAGGUGUUGUUUUCUUGAUUUAUAAACGGGUGCAUGUACCUGCUUGUAAUAAUCAGAAGCGAUAGUAUUAAAAACAUUAAGGUCUGUAAUUUUUUUGUUGAUGUUUAGAAAAAAAAUGCCACAUGAUAGUUAUUAAACUUCAAUGUUUAACGGGAAUAAGAAGAUAUGUUGAAAUCCAAGAAAUGCAGUAGACAUGUCAGAUUAUUUUUAAAAAUAAGCCAGAGUCACUGUUCUAGAAACCAAGAACAUUGUUUAAAAAGAAAUAUGAGCCUUUUCUGUGUUUAAGCGUCUGGGUUUUGAUUCAGAGUGGUUUAAGGAAAUAAAAAUGUACUGCAGUGUGAUAUAUCUUUUAUAUAGUUUAUCUUACCAACACUGUUUUUGUACCAAUAGAAAAGCUGGUGCUCAGAGGAAGAGGGCGGGCUUUACUUGGUGUCAGUGACAGAAAUGAAAAAAAGCUCAAAUGAGUGAGAAGGACGAUGAAGGAAACAUCUGUGCUGUGUCUGCUCUACCUUGGUGGAUCUGCAGGGAGAACUGAGGAUGUCAGUUAUGGACGAAUCAUCAACAAGUCAUCAAGAGAGAGAAGAGAAACAGUCAAAGAAAACCACAGACUCGACAAAGAGGGCGGUCUGUACUUGGUGUCAGAGACAGAAAUGAGAAAAAGCUGAAAUGAGUGAGAAGGACGAUGAAGGAAACAUCUGUGCUGUGUCUGCUCUGUAAGUAGAAUCUCCUGCACUACAGAGCAGGUUUAUUAUACCCAGGGUAUGUUUCUGUUAUU
Molecule: non-coding RNA, 1379 nt
Organism: Neolamprologus brichardi
Lineage: Eukaryota; Metazoa; Chordata; Actinopteri; Cichliformes; Cichlidae
Source: RefSeq, a predicted model, not a curated record